Molecule: ribosomal RNA, 160 nt
Filed under: uncultured Sphingomonas sp.
Lineage: Bacteria; Pseudomonadati; Pseudomonadota; Alphaproteobacteria; Sphingomonadales; Sphingomonadaceae
Description: partial 16S ribosomal RNA
Rfam family: Bacterial small subunit ribosomal RNA
Source: RNAcentral
GGGAUGCAUGGGCGCAGCCUGAUGCAGCGACGCCGCGUGAGUGAUGAAGGCCUUCGGGUUGUAACGCUCUUUUGCCGGGGACGAUGAUGACGGUACCCGGAGAUAACCCCGGCUAACUCCGUGCCAGCAGCCGCGGUAAUACGGAGGGGGCUAGCGUUGU